AAUCUUCAAAAAUUAUUAGGUCCCUAAAAUGAUUAAGUUAUAGUGAUAACUAAGUCAUAGCCUCCCAUUAAGUGAGUGAUAAUGAGUCCAUUAGUUUAAUAAUCAUUGGAGGCCCAAAGGCCUGGUGCUUAUUGACUAAUGGAAUUAUCAUUCAUAGUAUGAUAAUUUGGUUGAGUCUUUUUGAUGGUGGUCAGGUUGGCCGGCCAAAGUCGGGCCUGAUAAUUUAUUGGUUCGAUUCACCAAAUCAAGUCAUGUUAAUGGUUGGACCUAACCAGAUCU
Molecule: long non-coding RNA, 279 nt
Filed under: Elaeis guineensis (African oil palm)
Lineage: Eukaryota; Viridiplantae; Streptophyta; Magnoliopsida; Arecales; Arecaceae
Description: long non-coding RNA (EGUI_LNC064053)
Source: RNAcentral